This is a non-coding RNA of Oncorhynchus mykiss (rainbow trout), 970 nucleotides long. The record is from RefSeq and is a predicted model, not a curated record. Lineage: Eukaryota; Metazoa; Chordata; Actinopteri; Salmoniformes; Salmonidae.
UCAGAUCAGAGAUAACAGGUCAGAUCAGAGAUAACAGGUCAGAUCAGAGAUAACAGUUCAGAUCAGAGAUAACAGGUCAGAUCAAAGAUAACAGUUCAGAUCAGAGAUAACAGGUCAGAUAAGAGAUAACAGGUCAGAUCAGAGACAACAGGGGUUGAUAAAUAGGUCAGAUCAGAGAUAACAGGGGUUGAUAAACAGGUCAGAUCAAAGAUAACAGGUCAGAUCAGAGAUAACAGGUCAGAUCAGAGAUAACAGGGGUUGAUCAACAGGUUAGAUCAGAGAUAACAGGGGUUGAUAAACAGGUCAGAUCAAAGAUAACAGGUCAGAUCAGAGAUAACAGGGGUUGAUCAACAGGUCAGAUAAGAGAUAACAGGGGUUGAUAAACAGGUCAGAUCAAAGAUAACAGGUCAGAUCAGAGAUAACAGGGGUUGAUCAACAGGUCAGAUCAGAGAUAACAGGGGUUGAUAAACAGGUCAGAUCAGAGAUAACAGGGGUUGAUAAACAGGUCAGAUCAAAGAUAACAGGUCAGAUCAUAGAUAACACGGGUUGAUAAACAGGUCAGAUCAGAGAUAACAGUCUUGUUUAGCAGUCUUACGGCUUCGGGUUAGAACCUGUUCAGGGUCCUGGUGGUUCCAGACUUGCUGUGCGGUAGCAGAGAGAACAGUCUACGGCAGUGCUCUCCAACCCUCUUCCUGGAGAGAUACCGUUUUCACAUCCUAAUCCUAAUCUAGCACACUUGAUUGUAAUUCAACUGGGGUUGGAGCAAACACCUGGGGGAGGAAAGCCCUGGUCAAUGGAAUGGUCCACACUAAAGGGACCCACCCGAAACUACUACAGGAGAUUUGAGUCUUUGAACCAUCAUUACAUUACACCAUUUCGGUAUCACUGCAGUGAUUUGAUUCUCAAUCAACCAAUCAAGUAUAUUAAAUUGUAUUAUACUUUGCAAACUAAAAUUAUCUGGUAAAAACCU